RNAcentral lists this ribosomal RNA (1398 nucleotides) under uncultured bacterium. RNAcentral's name for it is "16S ribosomal RNA". It matches the Rfam family "Bacterial small subunit ribosomal RNA". The record is from RNAcentral.
AGAGUUUGAUCCUGGCUCAGAUUGAACGCUGGCGGCAGGCUUAACACAUGCAAGUCGAGCGGAAACGAUACCAGCUUGCUGGUAGGCGUCGAGCGGCGGACGGGUGAGUAAUACUUAGGAAUCUACCUAGUAGUGGGGGAUAGCUCGGGGAAACUCGAAUUAAUACCGCAUACGACCUACGGGAGAAAGGGGGCAGUUUACUGCUCUCGCUAUUAGAUGAGCCUAAGUCGGAUUAGCUAGAUGGUGGGGUAAAGGCCUACCAUGGCGACGAUCUGUAGCUGGUCUGAGAGGAUGAUCAGCCACACCGGGACUGAGACACGGCCCGGACUCCUACGGGAGGCAGCAGUGGGGAAUAUUGGACAAUGGGGGAAACCCUGAUCCAGCCAUGCCGCGUGUGUGAAGAAGGCCUUUUGGUUGUAAAGCACUUUAAGCAGUGAAGAAGACUCCUCGGUUAAUACCCGUGGACGAUGACAUUAGCCGCAGAAUAAGCACCGGCUAACUCUGUGCCAGCAGCCGCGGUAAUACAGAGGGUGCAAGCGUUAAUCGGAAUUACUGGGCGUAAAGCGAGCGUAGGUGGCUUGAUAAGUCAGAUGUGAAAUCCCCGGGCUUAACCUGGGAACUGCAUCUGAAACUGUUAGGCUAGAGUAGGUGAGAGGAAGGUAGAAUUCCAGGUGUAGCGGUGAAAUGCGUAGAGAUCUGGAGGAAUACCGAUGGCGAAGGCAGCCUUCUGGCAUCAUACUGACACUGAGGCUCGAAAGCGUGGGUAGCAAACAGGAUUAGAUACCCUGGUAGUCCACGCCGUAAACGAUGUCUACUAGUCGUUGGGUCCCUUGAGGACUUAGUGACGCAGCUAACGCAAUAAGUAGACCGCCUGGGGAGUACGGCCGCAAGGUUAAAACUCAAAUGAAUUGACGGGGGCCCGCACAAGCGGUGGAGCAUGUGGUUUAAUUCGAUGCAACGCGAAGAACCUUACCUGGUCUUGACAUAUCUAGAAUCCUGCAGAGAUGCGGGAGUGCCUUCGGGAAUUAGAAUACAGGUGCUGCAUGGCUGUCGUCAGCUCGUGUCGUGAGAUGUUGGGUUAAGUCCCGCAACGAGCGCAACCCUUGUCCUUAGUUACCAGCGGGUUAAGCCGGGAACUCUAAGGAUACUGCCAGUGACAAACUGGAGGAAGGCGGGGACGACGUCAAGUCAUCAUGGCCCAUACGACCAGGGCUACACACGUGCUACAAUGGUAGGUACAGAGGGCAGCUACACAGCGAUGUGAUGCGAAUCUCAAAAAGCCUAUCGUAGUCCAGAUUGGAGUCUGCAACUCGACUCCAUGAAGUAGGAAUCGCUAGUAAUCGCGGAUCAGAAUGCCGCGGCGAAUACGUUCCCGGGCCUUGUACACACCGCCCGUCA